UAAAAGCCGCCAAGAAAGACUCCUGUGUU
This 29-nucleotide non-coding RNA is filed under the name Mus musculus (house mouse). Lineage: Eukaryota; Metazoa; Chordata; Mammalia; Rodentia; Muridae. The record is from RNAcentral.